RNAcentral lists this ribosomal RNA (500 nucleotides) under uncultured bacterium. Its description in RNAcentral is "partial 16S ribosomal RNA". It matches the Rfam family "Bacterial small subunit ribosomal RNA", at positions 30 to 523 of the family's 1533-position model. The record is from RNAcentral.
AUUGAACGCUGGCGGCAUGCCUUACACAUGCAAGUCGAACGGCAGCACGGGAGCAAUCCUGGUGGCGAGUGGCGAACGGGUGAGUAAAGUAUCGGAACGUGCCCAGUCGUGGGGGAUAACGUAGCGAAAGCUACGCUAAUACCGCAUACGAUCUAUGGAUGAAAGCGGGGGAUCGCAAGACCUCGCGCGAUUGGACCGGCCGAUAUCAGAUUAGGUAGUUGGUGGGGUAAAGGCUCACCAAGCCGACGAUCUGUAGCUGGUCUGAGAGGACGACCAGCCACACUGGGACUGAGACACGGCCCAGACUCCUACGGGAGGCAGCAGUGGGGAAUUUUGGACAAUGGGCGAAAGCCUGAUCCAGCCAUGCCGCGUGCAGGAUGAAGGCCUUCGGGUUGUAAACUGCUUUUGUACGGAACGAAAAGGUUUGGCCUAAUAAGCUGAGCUCAUGACGGUACCGUAAGAAUAAGCACCGGCUAACUACGUGCCAGCCGCCGCGGUAA